Molecule: long non-coding RNA, 1350 nt
Filed under: Gossypium barbadense (sea-island cotton)
Lineage: Eukaryota; Viridiplantae; Streptophyta; Magnoliopsida; Malvales; Malvaceae
Description: long non-coding RNA (GBAR_LNC013780)
Source: RNAcentral
AUUCUUAGAUGUCAAGAGUCCAUAUUUACCUUGUUCAUUAUUAUCAUAUGGCUUAAAUAUAAAUUUGGCGUCUGAACUUGUGCACUUCUCUUAGGUUGGUAUCUAAUCUUCAACUAAUUUGAUACUCUUUUUAACAAUAUUAAAUUUGGGACAAAUGGCAAUAUUAGACAAAUACACUGUCAUUAGUACCAUCAAAAUGAUGGUUGAAUAUAAAAAUUAAAUAAAAAUUAUUGAAAAUUUUAAAAGUAUAUAUAUAAAUAAUAAUGAAUACAUAAAUAAAAAAACAUUACAAAAUUAAGAAACAUAUAAAAAGUUGCUUCAUCUCAUCUUGGUUUGUUCAUGAACUUGUUCAUCUUCAUCUCUUAAUAUUCUUCAUUUUCAAAACUUCAUUUCUUUCAUCAUUGUCUUCUUUCUUCAAAAACCCAUAACUUAAUCUUCAAUUUUGCUUCGUCACCAUUAUCACUCCAAACAACUCAGAACCAAAAUAAAAAGACAUUUCAGAUUCGGACUCAGAACUCAAAACUUUGCAAAUUAGAACCCAAACCCAAAAAAGUCAAAAUAAUCUAGAACCCCAAUAUCAAUUUUUUUUGGUAAAAUACUCGGUCAAAUCUACAAAAUCCACACAUAAAUGUUUAUACAAAAUUCCACGGAACCAUCAAGACAAUCGCAAAAAUCAAAUUUGAGAAUUAAAAUUCGACUUUGAUAUACCUCAGUAUAUGGGAUGCCCAGAAAAUUGCAAGCACAAGACCAAGAGACUAUUGUUUCUGUGAUAUGCAUCCUUUGGCCCUUCAGCCCACUCCCAGUCCCACAAGCAGAUUCCCUAGCCUGUGGCGGAGAUCGAAGUUUUGAAAACCCAAGGAUCAAUCUUUGAUUUUUUCGGCUUUGAAGAGAUUUCCUUGGAAAUACAAGGCAGGAUUUGAGACGAGGUUGAAGAGAGAAAUAUUUUGGUGGUAGGAUCGGCCGGAGAAGGCCAUGGAUGGCAGUGGUUAAGGUAUGAAGAAAGAAGAGAAUGGAGAAGAUGAAAGAGGAAAAGAAAAAAAAGUCAAUGAAGUGAGAAAGAAAAAGGUUUUUUUGUUAUUUUGAUUUAAUUUUUUGGUAACUUUGUUAGUUUAUAACUUUUUUUUAAAAAUUUUAUUUAAUUUUUAAUAUUUAUUGAUUUUUUUAUAAUUUUUAUAACUUCUAAUCUAUUUUUAGAUUUUUUUUAAACAUUUUAAAAUAUUUUUUUAAAAUGAUUAUAUCAUUCAUUGACACGUGGCAUAAUUUCAUAAGGCCACAUGUCUCAAACUUAACACCAUUACAAAAAAAAAAAGUAUAGUGGACAAAAUGAAAAUUUGAGUACCAACUUAAAAC